UCCGCCUACGGGGGGCAGCAGUGGGGAAUAUUGCACAAUGGGGGAAACCCUGAUGCAGCGACGCCGCGUGAAGGACGAAGUAUUUCGGUACGUAAACUUCUAUCAGCAGGGAAGAAAAUGACGGUACCUGACCAAGAAGCCCCGGCUAACUACGUGCCAGCAGCCGCGGUAAUACGUAGGGGGGCAAGCGUUAUCCGGAUUUACUGGGUGUAAAGGGAGCGCAGACGGCUGUGCAAGUCUGGAGUGAAAGGCGGGGGCCCAACCCCCGGACUGCUCUGGAAACUGUAAAGCUGGAGUGCAGGAGG
RNAcentral lists this ribosomal RNA (305 nucleotides) under uncultured bacterium. RNAcentral describes it as "partial 16S ribosomal RNA". It matches the Rfam family "Bacterial small subunit ribosomal RNA", at positions 334 to 655 of the family's 1533-position model. The record is from RNAcentral.